RNAcentral lists this ribosomal RNA (1095 nucleotides) under uncultured bacterium. RNAcentral describes it as "bacterial SSU rRNA". It matches the Rfam family "Bacterial small subunit ribosomal RNA", at positions 418 to 1501 of the family's 1533-position model. The record is from RNAcentral.
UCGGGUAGUAAAGCUCUUUGGUCAGGGAUGGAAAACUUUCGUGCUAAUACUACGGAAGGAUGACAGUACAUGACGAAUAUGCAUCGGCUAACUACGUGCCAGCAGCGCAGGUAAUACGUAGUGUUGCGAGCGUUAGUCGGCAAUUACUGGGCGUAAAGCGUGCGCAGGUGGUUUUGUAAGCGUGAUGUGAAAUCGCCGGGCUCAACAUGGGCACUGCAUUGAGGACUGCAAGACUAGAGUGUGGCAGAAGGGGGUGGAAUUCCACGUGUAGCAGUGAAAUGUGUAGAGAUGUGGAGGAACACAGAUGGCGAAGGCAGCCCCCUGGGCUAACACUGUCACUCAUGCACGAAAGCGUGGGGAGCAAACACGAUUAGAUACGAUGGUAGUACACGCCCUAAACGAUGUCUACUAGUUGUUGGGAAGGGAGACCUUCUUAGUAACGCAGCUAACGCGUGAAGUAGACCGCCUGGGGAGUACGGUCGCAAGAUUAAAACUCAAAGGAAUUGACGGGGGCCCGCACAAGCGGUGGAUGAUGUGGAUUAAUUAGAUGCAACGCGAAAAACCUUACCUACCCUUGACAUGCUAGGAAUCCUGCAGAGAUGUGGGAGUGCUCGAAAGAGAACCUGGACACAGGUGCUGCAUGGCUGUCGUCAGCUCGUGUCGUGAGAUGUUGGGUUAAGUCCCGCAACGAGCGCAACCCUUGCCACUAGUUGCCACCAUUAAGUUGGGCACUUUAGUGGGACUGCCGGUGACAAACCGGAGGAAGGUGGGGAUGACGUCAAGUCCUCAUGGCCCUUAUGGGUAGGGCUUCACACGUCAUACAAUGGUCGGUACAGAGGGUAGCCAACCCGCGAGGGGGAGCCAAUCUCAUAAAGCCGAUCGUAGUCCGGAUUGCAGGCUGCAACUCGCCUGCAUGAAGUCGGAAUCGCUAGUAAUCGCGGAUCAGCAUGUCGCGGUGAAUACGUUCCCGGGCCUUGUACACACCGCCCGUCACACCAUGGGAGUGGGGGAUACCAGAAGUAGGUAGCUUAACCUUCGGGAAGGCGCUUACCACGGUAUGCUUCAUGAAGGGGGUGAAGUCGUAACAAGGUAACC